Molecule: ribosomal RNA, 253 nt
Filed under: uncultured bacterium
Lineage: Bacteria
Description: partial 16S ribosomal RNA
Rfam family: Bacterial small subunit ribosomal RNA
Source: RNAcentral
UACGAAGGGGGCUAGCGUUGUUCGGAUUUACUGGGCGUAAAGCGCACGUAGGCGGAUCGUUAAGUCGGGGGUGAAAUCCUGGAGCUCAACUCCAGAACUGCCUUCGAUACUGGCGAUCUUGAGUCCGGAAGAGGUGAGUGGAACUCCGAGUGUAGAGGUGAAAUUCGUAGAUAUUCGGAGGAACACCAGUGGCGAAGGCGGCUCACUGGUCCGGUACUGACGCUGAGGUGCGAAAGCGUGGGGAGCGAUCCGG